CGUAAAGCGCAUGCAGGCGGCCUGUUAAGUCAGAUGUGAAAGACCCGGGGCGUUAACCUCGGAAUUGCAUUUGAAACUAGGCAGGCUAGAGUCUUGUAGAGGGGGGUAGGAAUUUCAGGUGUAGCGGUGAAAUAGCGUAGAGAUCUGAAGGAAUACCAGUGGCGAAGGCGGCCCCCUCGGACAAAGACUGACGCUCAGAUGCGAAAGCGUGGGGAGCAAACAGGAUUAGAUACCCUGGUAA
This 241-nucleotide ribosomal RNA is filed under the name uncultured bacterium. RNAcentral describes it as "partial 16S ribosomal RNA". It matches the Rfam family "Bacterial small subunit ribosomal RNA", at positions 559 to 793 of the family's 1533-position model. The record is from RNAcentral.